GCGGAGGAAAAGAAACCAACAGGGAUUACCUCAGUAACGGCGAGUGAAGCGGUAACAGCUCAAAUUUGAAAUCUGGUCCCCUCUGGGGGCCCGAGUUGUAAUUUGAAGAGGAUGCUUUUGGCGAGGCGCCUUCCGAGUGCCCUGGAACGGGACGCCACAGAGGGUGAGAGCCCCGUAUGGUAGGACGCCGAGCCUCUGUAAAGCUCCUUCGACGAGUCGAGUAGUUUGGGAAUGCUGCUCAAAAUGGGAGGUAAACCCCUUCUAAAGCUAAAUAUUGGCCAGAGACCGAUAGCGCACAAGUAGAGUGAUCGAAAGAUGAAAAGCACUUUGAAAAGAGAGUUAAACAGCACGUGAAAUUGUUGAAAGGGAAGCGCUUGCGACCAGACUUGCGCCCGUCGGAUCAACCGUCCCUCGUGGGCGGCGCACUCCGGCGGGCUCAGGCCAGCAUCAGUUUUCCUGGGGGGAGAAAGGCGGCGGGAAUGUAGC
RNAcentral lists this small RNA (486 nucleotides) under Parawardomyces giganteus. RNAcentral's name for it is "eukaryotic LSU rRNA". It matches the Rfam family "Eukaryotic large subunit ribosomal RNA", at positions 50 to 540 of the family's 3401-position model. Lineage: Eukaryota; Fungi; Ascomycota; Sordariomycetes; Microascales; Microascaceae. The record is from RNAcentral.